UCCCGGCAUCCGGGUGGCGGCUCACACCUGCACCCCGCCCCAGCGCAGCACCAUGCCCGCCAGCCACCCGGGUCCUCUCGCCGUCGCUCUCCUCCUCGGCCUGCUGCUGCUCGGCCUCCCCCGAGUCCCAGGCGGAGAAGCGGAGAAGAAAGGCGUGUGCCCGCAGCUACAGGCAGACCUGAACUGCACGCAGGAGUGCCUCUCCGACGCCCAAUGUGCCGACAACCUCAAGUGCUGCCGGGCCGGCUGCGCCACCAUCUGCCACCUGCCCGACGAAAAGCAGGGUUCCUGCCCCAAGGUGAACACUGACUUCCCCCAGCUUGGCCUCUGCCGGAACCAGUGCCAGGUGGACAGCCAGUGUCCUGGCCUGUUGAAAUGCUGCUACAAUGGUUGCGGGAAGGUGUCCUGUGUCACUCCUGUCCUCUGAGGAAAAGCCAGGAAGCUGGAAGGGAGCAGGGAGGACACAGAGGAAGGUCAAGGCUCCAGCCACCACAGCCCAAGGAGUGGGGGAGUGGAAGUUUCUGCCCGGCCUUGCCUGGCUCCAGCCCAGCUACCGUCCCCUCUUUCUGGCCGCUGUAUUCCCUCCAGAGCUGAGCAGUGCUUCUUCCUUUUCCAGCCAAUAAAGUGACCGCUUCCAGCACUGGG
Leptonychotes weddellii (Weddell seal) is the source of this 645-nucleotide RNA transcript. It is a transcript of the gene named WAP four-disulfide core domain 2, with no coding region annotated. The record is from RefSeq and is a predicted model, not a curated record. Lineage: Eukaryota; Metazoa; Chordata; Mammalia; Carnivora; Phocidae.